RNA transcript from Thunnus maccoyii (southern bluefin tuna), 5171 nucleotides. It is a transcript of the gene named transcription factor Maf, with no coding region annotated. The record is from RefSeq and is a predicted model, not a curated record. The transcript is spliced from 4 exons. NCBI's taxonomy places the organism in Eukaryota, Metazoa, Chordata, Actinopteri, Scombriformes, Scombridae.
AUCAUCCCCAAUAUAAUAAAGACAGUAGUAAACUUCAUGGCAGUGAGCUGCCUACAUGAAACUCCAAAGGGAGACAGGAUGAGUUGCAUACAUGACUAUUAGCCCUCAGUAACACAGCUGAUGCAUUGGCUCUGGACUCUGCUUGUUAACCCUUGAGACUCCCAGGCUGAUAAAUCCUGGUUUAAGAGAUCUGGCAAAACCAGAGCUCACGCAGCAGCUAGUGUCCACUGCUGCGUCAACUAUGGACACAUGUAUGACUUUUAAUUGCUCUUUGUCACAGUUUGUCUGUUGGUGGCUUGUGUGUGACUAUACAUGUUGAAAAUCAAAGUAAAAUUAACCAUGGUUUAUGUCAAACUAAAUCAAAGUGUGAAGCCAUUUUAUAUAUAUAUCAUAAGGGGGUGAUAAAUUGUUAUUAUUAUUAUUAUAGUGUAGGAGACAACAUAAUGCUAUGAAGACCUACAAAUAAAAAGCAAUACUUCUUUACAUAUGAGAAAUAUGUAUUUCUGUUACUCUCAAGUUCUCCUGUAUCUUGCCAUAUUGAAUUUACACUACAACAGCAACAGCGUAUAGUAUAGUAGCAUCAGAUGGGACACCUCGUCUGUUUAAUAUUUAUUCAAAAGCAUCAGAGGGGCCUCUGUUGUGUGUUCUAAUGAAUAAAACACGAUGUUUAUCCUUCCUGUUUAACGUUAAGUCCCCAUGAACAGUCACAGGGACCAAGAGAAUAUUUACUUGUGUUAGGACACCAGGGAGUUGGAUUAUCUGCUGGCGGCUUUGUAGUUUUCUGAAGCUUCCCCCGUGUGACAUGUUCCAGUGAGAGUGCUCUUAUUUACUCUCCAGUCCUCUGUGUAUAGCCCUCCUUAUUGUUUGUUCCUAUGUGCCACCACUCCUGAGGACUGUGCUCCAGGAGAGAGAGAGAGAUGGAGAGAGGGAGAGAGAGACUGUACUGUGAUCAUUACAUGGGAUUGAGACUGUAGACUCCAGAAGAACACAGAUGGAGGUGUUGUCAUCAUUAGAAAAAGGAUUUUAUGUUGACAGGCAUUUACAUGUAUCAAGGGACAUGUGUGCAAGAAAAUGGGUUUACAUUUUUCUCCUUCAAUAAUAAUGACGUGUGUAUAGUUUAAAUAUUUUUUUCUUUGUUAAAUUUAGUUUUGUUUUUCGUUUUCAAACCACAAAUCUUCCCUUUUUUCACCAGGAGUCAUGGAAGUGAAUAACUUGUUCACUAAUCUUCACAUCCAGCAGUAAGAUGAACAGAGAGCUGAUGAUUCAUAGAGAAAAGUGACAAAACAUUAAUUAUCCACUUCAAGCUGAAAAACAUUCGUAAGAAUAUCGGACACAUAUAAACGCUACAACAGCCUUCAUGAGGUAUUUCUUUAUACCGAAAGGUGGCGACAUUGGGUUUCCAAAAGAUGUCAUUCAACCAGACCUGUGCCAUGCUCUUUCCAAACAUUUCCACCUUUCUAUCACAGCGAUCUGCUGUAUUUAUGCACAGCUGUUUUUGCGAUUAUUUUAAUGACAUAUAGAGCAUUUGUCUCUCAGUGCCAAUCACUUAAAGGCAUUCUGAUGCAUUCUAAUAAUGUUUGGGAUGAAACGGAUGUUGUGUUGUCUGAGAAUAGUUUUUUUUUUUUUAAGAUCGAUUUCUUAGUUAAUUAGCAAGUUGCCUACAAUUAAUGAAAAACGUUUGUGUAAAGUUCGCCAAUAAACACACACAUUAAGGGCAGGAUUAAUCGACAGAAAAGCGCUGAAAAAAACAAUAUUGUUGAUAAAUCUGACUCCAGGAUUCAAUUCAAUUUAUAUAUUUGGUGAUUGUUUUGCCGAAAAAAACAUUAAAAACUGUUCAAAUUGAAUCGACUGGUAAAUCUAAAAAAGAAACGCAUGCAUAUUUACCACCUGACAUCUUCUGUUAAUGCUCGGAAUCUGUUUUAUUUUGCUUUCUUCUUUCUUUUCAAUGCAAAAUGGAAAAAAGGAUGAAUAUUGAGUCUCAUGUGUCAAUCUUCUGAUGGGCUCGGACAGUUCAGAAAACUUUGGUUUCUAUACUAUUAUGCUAAUUACGUCCCCGGGCUGCGCUGCUCAUUGGCUGAGUCUCGGUCAAUUUCAUAUUUCAGUCCUGACGUCAGGACGCCUAUAAAACUAAGCAAUGCUUUUUAACUCGUAGGCUGACUGAUCCCUUAGAAAAAAAAAUCUAUCAAUCCUUGGGUGGAGUUUUUUUUCCCGUUCUCCACAAGGCAACUAUUUGCCCGGGACACGUACGUGAACCUCCUCAAUUUGGCGCACUAAUCCUAAAAGGAGCCAUGAAGUGUUAAAUGGUAGAAACAGAGAGAGCGGCGCUCAGACACCCGCACGCUGGGAGAGAGGGAGGAAACAGCGCUGCUCCAAUGCGUCUGUGCAACACAGACUGAAGAAAAAAAAAACUUAUCGACUCACAAAACCAAAUCCUGCGCUGCGCAAUUAGUGCGAGAAAAUCCACUUUUUCCUCCGGUUUUGAAGAAAAUAAAUAAAGAAAUCAAGCUGGCUCAGUGCGUGUCUCAGCAGCCCACUUUGACAGGUGCUCCUCACCCCCUUUGGAGGACUGUCAACAGCAAGAGGAUGGCAUCAGAGCUGGCAAUGAGCAACUCCGACCUGCCCACCAGUCCCCUGGCCAUGGAAUAUGUUAAUGACUUCGAUCUGAUGAAGUUUGAAGUGAAAAAGGAGCCGGUGGAGCCCGAUCGCAGCAUCAGCCAGUGCAGCCGCCUGGUCGCCGGGGGAUCCCUAUCUUCCACCCCGAUGAGCACGCCUUGCAGCUCGGUUCCCCCCUCUCCAAGCUUCUCGGCGCCCAGUCCGGGAUCAGGGAGCGAACAGAAGGCGCACUUGGAGGAUUUCUACUGGAUGACCGGGUACCAACAGCAGUUGAACCCCGAGGCUCUGGGCUUUAGCCCGGAGGACGCCGUAGAGGCGCUGAUCAGCAGCAGUCACCAGCUCCAGACCUUCGAUGGCUAUGCCAGGGGGCAGCAGUUCGGCGGCGCAGCCGGGGCAGGAGGCGCCAUGGCCGGGGAGGAGAUGGGAUCAGCGGCCGCCGUGGUGUCCGCGGUUAUCGCUGCAGCUGCAGCUCAAAACGGGACUCCCCACCACCAUCACCACCACCACCACCACCACCACGCAGGAGCACACCACCCGUCCUCCGGGUCUCAGUCCGGCGGCGGCGCGGGUGGAAACCACCAGCACCUGCGCUUGGAAGAUCGGUUCUCGGACGAGCAGCUGGUGACCAUGUCGGUGCGGGAAUUGAACCGGCAGCUCCGGGGGGUCAGCAAGGAAGAGGUGAUUCGUCUGAAACAGAAGAGGAGGACGCUAAAGAACAGAGGCUAUGCCCAGUCCUGCCGGUACAAGCGGGUCCAGCAGCGGCACGUCCUGGAGGGAGAGAAGACGCAACUCAUUCAGCAGGUGGACCACCUCAAGCAGGAGAUCUCCCGGCUGGCCAGGGAGAGGGACGUCUACAAGGAGAAAUACGAAAAGCUGAUCAGCACCGGCUUCAGAGAAAACGGAGGAUCCAGCAGCGACAACAACCCUUCAUCCCCGGAGUUUUUCAUGACAUCAAGAAAAUUCCUCCAUCUGUGAUAGAGAGCUGUCACCUCUUCGUCCCGCCGCCGAGUCUGAGAUGGGAAGAUGUGGGGAUUUCAGAGGACGGCAAAGGAUGAUAGACUGAGAGAAGGAAAGCAAGGACUAGUUUUUUGUCGCCAGUCGGAAAAUGGAGGGAGAGAGACGAGGAGCUGAAGACGACUAGAAGUGGAGAAUCGAGGGAAAGUUAGGGGAGGAGUCGAGGCACUGAGCGAAGGAAGGCACCUGGAUUUGAAUGCAGACACGCACACGAGAGUGAGAGGACAGGAGGAGGCGAGGGAAGGGAGGAAUGGAUGGAAGGAGGGCUCCUGGCCAUGGAUGCAGACAGACAGGCAGGGUAACCAGAGGCAGGCGGUGACCUUCUCUGCUGCUGGAGGAUCGAAGGCUUUAUUUAAAGGCCUGGUCAAUGCUGGGUGCUGCUGAGGUAUCAGCCUCGCAGCCAGGCGACUCAUCACCACUGUAAUACAACUCUCUAACCCUAACCCCCCUCCCACACACACACACACACACACACACACACACAUAUACACACACACACACACACACAGGACAGGACAGUCUCCGGACACCUCAGGUUUUACACUGUAUAGUCGAGAGGCUGGACAGAGGAAACUACAGCAUCAGCAUCAGCUAAUUUUACUGUGAAGCAGACAGAAUACUCUACUUUCUUCAUGUGCUCAGCAUUGUGAAGCACAUGCUUGUUUUGCCUUUGAUAUGCAAAACUCCAUCACUGUCCAUUUUUUUGCUAUUGAUUAUUUAUAAAUAGACAGCAUAAUGCAUGUCUUUAUAUGAGGUAUUGACAUAGUGAGGAUGGAAGUGGUGAAGGAGUUAAAAAAAGGGACAGACUGCAGGCUGCUAAGAGAGCGAGCAGCAGGCGUUCCCAGCAGCACAGCAGAGCAGACCAGGAGGGAGGGAUGAAGUUAUUGACUCCACUUUGAUUUAACCUCUCCUGCCUGAUCCUCAGAAGUGCACAGACACAUGCAGAUUGGGGAAUUCUCAAAAUAACUGCUGCCCUCUCAGAGGUGUACAUGUUAAAGAUGUAAUACAGAAUUUAUUUGAGCUUUGUAAUUUUGGAUAUAUUUGUAUUCAACAGUUGUAGAAGAGGUAUCCAUAUUCUUUACAUGAGCAUAAAUAGCAAUAGACCCCUUUCACAGCAGACAUUUGACUUGUCAAAGCAGGAAAAGCACAGGUGGAAUAAAUAACAUUAAUGAUAGCUGCAUUAAAUUCAGGUGAACCAGUUGCAGGGCUCUCAUACUGUGCAUGCUCACUCACUGAUGUUGCUUGCUGGGACAAUUCAAUGAAUGGAGCCAUUGUUAGUGUUAUUAUUUACACCUGUGCUUUUCCUGCUUUGACAAGUCAAAAUAUAAAUGGUCUGUACCACAUUGUAGAAACUCAGUUACAAGUAAAAUUUUACUUAAGUUACAGAGGUUUGUACUUAGGAAUCAAAAGUGUAAUCAAUGUACUCAUUCCAUUGUACUCUUUGAAAAAGUAAUUAUAUUACUCAUCAGCCAAACUUGUCACAUUGCCUUUGUUAUAUUCAUAGCUCUGAAAGAGGUGCCCUCCAAUAACCCCGAAACCUUCAC